This is a long non-coding RNA of Nicotiana attenuata, 450 nucleotides long. RefSeq lists it as uncharacterized. The record is from RefSeq and is a predicted model, not a curated record. The transcript is spliced from 4 exons. Lineage: Eukaryota; Viridiplantae; Streptophyta; Magnoliopsida; Solanales; Solanaceae.
CCCACCAAAAUUACACUUAAUUUUCGGCCAAUUCUCAUAAGUCCAAGAUAACCCUAUAGGAAUAAGUAGCAAAACAGUUUUCACGCCACGGCUGCUCCAAUGCCGUCAAGCUGCUUCUAUUUCUUCGUUGCUUCAUCCUUGGUUGCUGCUCUUCUAUUGCUUUUAGAAUUGUGGUGCUCAUUCAACUAAAGAAAAUUGUGGACUAUGAGGAAGCAAAUAAAUACUGAACAGGGUGUGCCGGAUCUAAUACUCCUUCACCGGUUGAUGCAAGUAGUGCACGAGCUAUAAGAGGCCAAAAUCUACGACAUUCUUCUGGCUCAACUCAUGCUCCGAGUCUUGAAAAGGAAAAUGCGGAUGAUGCAAUUGGAAAUGGUGGCCGCAAAUCAAUUUGAUCUACUAAAGUGGAUGGUGAAGACAUUUUGAACAAUUGUGAUUAAUAUAUAUAUAUAU